Molecule: long non-coding RNA, 1861 nt
Filed under: Callithrix jacchus (white-tufted-ear marmoset)
Lineage: Eukaryota; Metazoa; Chordata; Mammalia; Primates; Cebidae
Description: lncRNA (ENSCJAG00000076386.1)
Source: RNAcentral
GGGGCAGCGGGGGCGCGCCCGCUCUCCGCCUCCCCCGCGCGCGCCCGCCGCCGCCCGGCGGCCUCCUCUGUUUUUGUUUUGAUGGAGCCCGCGUGCAGCUGGCGCGUGUCGAGUCACGUGCCGUGGGCGGGAGGGGGCCGUGGCGCGGGAGGCUAGGGCGCGGUGACGCGGGUCGAAGGGGCUGGCGCCCGCCGGGGCCACCAAGGGGACGCAAAGGGGCGUGUGGCCCCCGACGGAGCCCGGGAGUGCGGGUGGUCCUUCGCUGGCUGGUGCUCUUGGCGCUCCUCGGGGAGCAGUGACGGGUUCCUAGUCGUAGCACCUCGGGGAGCCUCGUCCAGGCGGAGGGCCGGCCUUCGCUGCUCAGCUCAGAACUCGGACCUUACAGGCAUUUUAUUAAUGCUUUUACGAGUUAGAAGAGUUGGGAUAAGGUGCCAUCUGGAGUUUCUCUGCCUUGCUGAUCUGAGCUCAGACCUGCCAAUUUACGAGAGAUGAUUGAUAACAUCCUGUAACAGCUGAGUAAGUAGAUCUUCUGUUUUACUGCUUUUUAAAAAAAAAGUUUAAAGUUUUAAAAUGCUAUGAACUCUAAUUGGGUUCUUUAAAAUUCGUCGUUGAAUAAUGCAAUUAUGAUAAUUUUAAUAAAUGAAUAUUUGUAAAUAAUGGGAUUCUGGAAGAAAUUAACCCCCGAUGAUAGAAAAGAGUUAAUGAAGACAUUCUUUGUACAUAGCAUGUAAGAAACGUAAGACUUAAAUACAUACAUUAAAAAUUUAGGCCAGGCAUGGUGGCUCAUGCCUGUAAUCCCAGGACUUCGGGAGGCUGAGGCGGGUGGAUCACCUGAAGUCAGGAGUUGAAGACCAGUCUGGCCAACAUGGUAAAACCUCAUCUCCACUAAAAAUAUAGAAAUGAGCUGGGCAUAGUGGCGGUUGCCUGUAAUCCCAGCUACUCGGGAGGCUGAGGCAGGAGAAUCGCUUGAAUCUGGGAGGUGGAGGUUGCAGUGAGUGGAGACUGUGCCUCUCUACACUAUAGCCUGGGUGACAGAGGCUCUGUCUCAAAACAAACAAAAAUCUCAAAGCAUUCUCCUUAGUGCUUUAUUUCACUUUUACAUUAUAAAAUGCAAAAAAAAAAAAAAAUAGUAAAGCAACUGUGAAUACAUUUUUUAAAUGCAACUGUAUAUAAAAUUGUCUCUUAAUGCAGGAUGCGUUUUGGUUGAUUUGAAAUAAAUACGGGUUUAGUGGAAAUAGAAUUUUAAUAGUUUUUAUCUGUUUGAAAAUAAUGAUUUUCCUGAUUCUAAUAUAGAUAAGAUCAUAACAUCUCUCUGGAUUUAACUUGGUUUCUCAAACAGACUAGGGAAGAAUGGCUUUCAUUCUUCCUAAUCAAAACACCUGAAUGAAGUUUAAAGUGUUUUAGGAGUUCAGUCAGUUAUCUUGAAAACAAAUGAUUUCUCAGAACAAGAGCUAUUACUCCUCAUAUUACAUCCUUUGAAACUUUUCACAAAACCAGUAAACCAUGAGGUUGUACCAGGGUCUUGUUUGGUAUUCUUAAACUGAAAACAGUGAAUAAAUCUGCAAGAUAUUCUCAACUGCAGUGGGAUUAUUUAAUUGUGGUCGAAAUCUGUGCUGUCCAAUAUGGCAGCAACUGGUCCCAUGUAGCUAUUGGACGUUUGAAAUAUGAGUAAUACUAAGGGAAAUGUUCUCUGCAGAAAAUACAUACCAUAUUUCAAAAACUUAAUAUGAAGGACUAAAAUAUUAAUAAGUUAUAUGUGACUCACAUGUUGAAAUGAUAAUAUUUUGGAUAUAUUGAAUUAAAACAUGUUAUUACAAUGAAUAUGUGUUUUCUUUUACUUUUUUUAUGGGACUGCUAGAAA